RNAcentral lists this ribosomal RNA (811 nucleotides) under uncultured bacterium. Its description in RNAcentral is "bacterial SSU rRNA". It matches the Rfam family "Bacterial small subunit ribosomal RNA", at positions 21 to 873 of the family's 1533-position model. The record is from RNAcentral.
GGCUCAGGAUGAACGCUGGCGGUAUGCUUAACACAUGCAAGUCGAACGGAAUGCUUAGGCAUUUAGUGGCGGACGGGUGAGUAACGCGUGAGAAUUUGGCUUCAGGUCGGGGACAACAGUUGGAAACGACUGCUAAUACCGGAUAUGCCGGAAGGUGAAAGAUUUAUUGCCUGAAGAUAAGCUCGCGUCUGAUUAGCUAGUUGGUGGGGUAAGAGCCUACCAAGGCGACGAUCAGUAGCUGGUCUGAGAGGAUGAUCAGCCACACUGGGACUGAGACACGGCCCAGACUCCUACGGGAGGCAGCAGUGGGGAAUUUUCCGCAAUGGGCGAAAGCCUGACGGAGCAAUACCGCGUGAGGGAGGAAGGCUCUUGGGUCGUAAACCUCUUUUCUCAGGGAAGAAAAAAAUGACGGUACCUGAGGAAUAAGCAUCGGCUAACUCCGUGCCAGCAGCCGCGGUAAUACGGAGGAUGCAAGCGUUAUCCGGAAUGAUUGGGCGUAAAGGGUCUGUAGGUGGUGCUGUAAGUCUGCUGUUAAAGAGUCACGCUCAACGUGAUAAAAGCGGUGGAAACUACAGGACUAGAGUGCGGUCGGGGCAGAAGGAAUUCCUGGUGUAGCGGUGAAAUGCGUAGAUAUCAGGAAGAACACCGGUGGCGAAAGCGUUCUGCUAGUCCGCAACUGACACUGAGGGACGAAAGCUAGGGGAGCGAAUGGGAUUAGAUACCCCAGUAGUCCUAGCCGUAAACGAUGGAUACUAGGCGUGGCUUGUAUCGACCCGAGCCGUGCCGGAGCUAACGCGUUAAGUAUCCCGCC